This 460-nucleotide ribosomal RNA is filed under the name uncultured bacterium. Its description in RNAcentral is "partial 16S ribosomal RNA". It matches the Rfam family "Bacterial small subunit ribosomal RNA", at positions 338 to 795 of the family's 1533-position model. The record is from RNAcentral.
CCUACGGGUGACAGCAGUGAGGAAUAUUGGUCAAUGGACGCAAGUCUGAACCAGCCAUGCCGCGUGCAGGAAGACGGCCCUAUGAGUUGUAAACUGCUUUUGUACGAGGGUAAACCCAGAUACGCGUGUCUCUCUGAUAGUAUCGUACGAAUAAGGAUCGGCUAACUCCGUGCCAGCAGCCGCGGUAAUACGGAGGAUUCAAGCGUUAUCCGGAUUUAUUGGGUUUAAAGGGUGCGUAGGCGGUCGGAUAAGUUAGGGGUGAAAUCACGAGGCUCAACUUCGGAAUUGCCGCUGAUACUGUUGGGCUGGAGAGUAGGAGCGGUAGGCGGAAUGUAUGGUGUAGCGGUGAAAUGCAUAGAGAUCAUACAGAACACCGAUUGCGAAGGCAGCUUACCGGGGUACAUCUGACGUUGAGGCACGAAAGCGUGGGGAGCGAACAGGAUUAGAUACCCCGGUAGUC